GCGUUUAUGGUACGCUGGACUUUGUAGGAUACCCUCGCUUUCCUGCUCCUGUUGAGUUUAUUGCUGCCGUCAUUGCUUAUUAUGUUCAUCCCGUCAACAUUCAAACGGCCUGUCUCAUCAUGGAAGGCGCUGAAUUUACGGAAAACAUUAUUAAUGGCGUCGAGCGUCCGGUUAAAGCCGCUGAAUUGUUCGCGUUUACCUUGCGUGUACGCGCAGGAAACACUGACGUUCUUACUGACGCAGAAGAAAACGUGCGUCAAAAAUUACGUGCAGAAGGAGUGAUGUAAUGUCUAAAGGUAAAAAACGUUCUGGCGCUCGCCCUGGUCGUCCGCAGCCGUUGCGAGGU
Molecule: ribosomal RNA, 346 nt
Filed under: uncultured prokaryote
Description: partial 16S ribosomal RNA
Source: RNAcentral